UCUGCUUUGAUCUUACCACCUGACUAAAGACUUUAGUACCAAGACUAUUUAUUAUAACAUUGUUUAAUAAAAAUGACCAAAAGGGUCAUUGAAUGAACUUCACUGCUACUUAGAAAGGUUGAAAUGUAGUGUUUCCUUAUAAAACACUUUGAAACCAUUUAUCAUACUACAGUAUUAAGUACUAAAACAAACUUGAAGCGUAAAACUUUCCGGUAGAAUUAUGGAGUUUUUCUUUAUUUCGUUCUUUGCAGGUUCUAGAGCACAAGUUAAAAGAAGCUGAUGAAAUGCACACAUUGUUACAGCUUGAGUGUGAAAAAUACAAAUCCGUCCUUGCAGAAACAGUAGGAAAUGAUUUUUAAUCUACAUUUUGAUUUUACUUUAAAUCAUUACCUUCUUCCUUCGUGGCCUAAAUAGUUUUAUCUUGGCAUUAGAACAUGAAUUUUUCAAAACAACUAUACUUUUGUCUGUAGGAAGGAAUUUUACAGAAGCUACAGAGGAGUGUUGAGCAAGAAGAAAAUAAAUGGAAAGUUAAGGUCGAUGAAUCACACAAGACUAUUAAACAGGUAUUUACAAAAGAAAAGCUUAGAGCAGUGGUUCUCAAUGUGUGGGGCUUGAACCAGCAGUAUCAGCAUCACCAUGCACAUUCUUGGGCCCCAACCCAGCUACCAAAUCCAAAACAUGUAUGUGGGGUGGCAGCAGUCUGUGUUUUCAUGAGCCCUCCAGAAUAGUCUAAUGCCCACCCAAGUUUGAAAAUCACCGGUUUUAAAGUAUGACUAAAGGGUAAUCAUAUAGAAUGUAGAGUGCUAGUUACAGAACUAUCGUGUGAUAAGGUAAAGAAUACUGGGUUCAAAAUCAGUUUUAAAGUAUUUAACCCAUAAUAUAGAAUUCAAGAAAAAGUUCUUCUAUUCGUGGGACCUGAAUGUUAUUGUGCAACCUUAAUUUUUCUCCCUUUUACUUCAGCGUGAUAAAGAGUACCAUUACUCACUUAUUUUUUGGGGCCAAUGUGCAGAAUUUACAGUUGCUGAUGGUACUCUAAUGCACUUGCAGAAUAAAUACAGCUGAAUAUCAGUUAAUACUAAUCAAAAAUUAAUCACUUUUAGCCGAGCCUGAUAGACAAAUGGAGUAGGUUUGGACCACAAUUUAAAUCAAGUUCAAUGUGACUCAUUUUUAAGGUCUUUUAAAAUUCAGUAAGACUUUAAAUGAGAUGCAUUUCCAAACCUUGGAAGUGUCUUUUAAUUGAUCAGAAUUCUACAGGAUAGAAACUGCUAUAUCCUUGGUGGUUUACUUGGCCAUAUAAUUGUUUCACAUUUCAGAUGCAGUCAUCAUUUACAUCUUCAGAACAAGAGCUAGAGCGAUUAAGAAGAGAAAAUAAGGAUAUUGAAAAUGUAUGUUAUUUGAUUGUUUUACUUGUAACCUAUGGAUUUGUUUUUAGCAUUAACGGUUGUCUGAAGAUCUAUAGUUUAAGAUUACUUUAUAGUUAUGCUCUUAAUAUCUUGGGUAGUGUUUGAGUUGAUAUAGUUUUAUAUUCAUAAGUGUCAUAAUUUUGCCUUGUGGGGAAAUAUUAUGAAAGGAAAUUUUAAGUGUGUUAACUUUUCCUUUGUUGCAUUGCUAGCUGAGAAGAGAACGAGAACAUUUGGAAAUGGAACUAGAAAAGGCAGAGAUGGAACGAUCUACCUAUGUUACAGAAGUCAGAGAGGUACUUAAAACAGAAUCUUUUCAAACUUGCUUCUCAAUUCAGAUUAAGUUUAUAACAGUGAUAUUUCAGUAUAAGUUGUUUGUGGCAGAGCUUCCGAGUAGCAUACAAAACAUGGGCUAUCAUAAGGAGAUCAAUCUUAAACUCUAAACUUCAUUGCAGCUGAAAGAUCUGUUGACUGAAUUGCAGAAAAAACUUGAUGAUUCAUAUUCUGAAGCAGUAAGACAGAAUGAAGAGCUAAAUUUGGUAAGAAGCUUGUCCUCCACUGGGUAUCAAGUAGGCACUGAAAACACUUUGUUGACAUGUGGAGAAACCAUCCAAGCUUUUUUUUCUUUGCUAACAUCUUUAGCUUGGCCUUUUUGUAAGUCUAAGAUAAUCUUCAUAUUCCGAUGAUUCCUAAGAUUAUCUUUCUUUUCUUGACUCCUAAAAUGAUCCGUCUUUUCUUAGCUCCUAACAAUGGCAUGUUUGGCUUCCAACUCUUUUUCAAAAUUUUCGAUGUUUUAUAAAUCCUAUUUUCUCAAACAGCAGUCUUUUCUGUGAAUAAAGAAAUGAAAGAUUGGCUGAGUUACGAAGAUUUUCUUCUCAGACUAUCAUAGCUAAUGGGGCCUUUUAUUUUCUAACCUGGGAGAAGAUUAUAUUGAAAGUCAAAGACACGUAUUCUUCAUUCAAGGGCAGUAAUCUAAUCCAGUUUCUAAUUUUAACCUAGUCUCUCUAUAUAUUACAAAUAUUAAAAAGCGUACAAGAGUCUUUAUUAUCAACAUACUAUUUAGAGCAUAGUAAUCCUAAAAGCAUAGACUUUGAGAUAAAGUUAGCUAAAUGUCUUAGAACAUAUGGUACCCUGUAUUCCUAUUCUCAAGUUUUCUAAAAACUGUACUGAUUGUGACAGAUUUAGCUAUUAGACAAAUAUGGCUGUCUUGCUCUCUGUUUCAAACAACAAUUUUUAGGUCUUCCUUGUGAGUUAAAAAUUGUUACAGCACAGGGAUUAGAUUUUUUUUUUUUUGAGUACCUUAAUAAACUCUCAGAAGAUUACAGUAAGUAAGUUUUUUCUUUACCCAAAGUUCACCCUGCCCAGUUUGGAAUUUUCUUGUUAGCAUUACUCCAUGUACCAAGAAAACUUUAACUCAUUCAUUUGUGGUUGGUAUCCUAUGUUAUGGCAAAAAUUUAUGGGAAUCAAUUUUUAGAGUAGAGCUGUGUGAAAUACAGGUUGCAUAUUCUUUAUCUGGAAUGCUUGGAACCAGCUAUUUUGGGGGGGAUUUUGGAUUAUUUGUAUUAUAUGCUUGCUCUGUAUGUGUCCCUUAUCUGAAAACCCGAAAUCUGAAAUGCUCCAGUGAACAUUUCCUUUGAGUGUCAUGUCAGUGCUUAAAAAGUUUAGGAUUUUGGAGCAUUUCAGAGUUCAGAUUUUCAGAUUAGGGAUGUUCAUACACACACAGCCCUACACACACAGAGCCCUACACCUCUAAUUUUUAAAUCUUUGUUUUAUUUACCAAUGUUUUACUUUAAUUGAACUCAUUCACACUGCAUUGUGAGACUAGUUCUAUGCUAUACAUUGCACAGAUUAGGACUGUGAUAUGUCAUGGCUAUAAGUCCUCACUCUGUGUUUUUAAAAAAUCAUUUCUAACUAGUUGUUAGAGUUUUACUUAUUAACUUUGGUGCUUAGUGGCUGACUCAACAGUUACAUGGUUACAUCUCCACUCAGCUUAAUGCUUUAUUUUGAUUUUUUGUCCCUCUACUUCUGUCAGGAGAUCAUUUUGAGUGGUUGAUACUUACUUUUUUUCCCUAGUCUUGAGUUUGGAAUCUUUAUUUUAAUGUUUGUUUGCUCAGAAUAACUGCUGCUACUUUUUAUGAUAAAAUAGCUUUGUUUGCCUGUGCGUUCUUUGUGUAUUCUUGGGCCAAAAGAUUCAUUUCUCUGAUGGAGAAUAUUAAAACUCAAAGUUGUGUAAAGGAGCAAAAUUUAUUUGGGUACUUACAUAGAAUUCCUCAGAUAAAAUUUCCAAGUGGAGUUUCCCUCCGCCCCACUGCCGCCCCUUUUUAAUUCUCCCUCCAAUUUUAAAUGUCACUGCCUUGUAUUUCCCGCUUUGGGCCUCUAGAACUGUUUCAAAAGUGCCCAUGGGUGGGAAGCAAAAACAAAUACCUUAUGAGAAUAAGAAGACAGUUUUUUGGGAGCAAUAUAGUUCAUUUUCCUUGCUCAUAUUUAAUUGGAAAAUCAGAGAAGUGGCAUUAUAUAUUCGCACUGGAGUUACAGAACUUUCUGUUUUGACAGAUUGGUUAUUCAUAGGUGUGUCGUAAGGCAUUUCUUGAUGGUAUAAUUUAGGCCAGUGUGGUCUUGUACUACCCCUUAGUGAAGCCUUAAACGAUGGUCAGUAUUUUGGGAGUUUUAAUUUGACUGGAUUUGUAGUCUUCUGUUCAAUGUUUUUAAAAAUAUUGUAUAAUUGACUCUUUAAUUGAACUGUAUAGAUUAAGAAAGCCUUUAAAAACUAAUGGAUAAAGUAUCUAUUUGGCUUUUAAUUUGGAAUAAUUUCAGUGACUGUUACAAAUAGUGAUACCUUUAAAAGGCACUUUACUGGAAUUUGAUGGUUUUGUUUUUGCAUUUGCAGUUUUCUACUCUAAACUGUAGUUCAUUUCUGUGGCUUUUCUUAUGUUUAGCUUUACAGAUGGGAACCUCUACUGCUUAGCCUUUCUAUACAUCUGGUGCAGCAUAUUGGCUAAUCCACUGUGCAUAAUAACUGUUAGCAAUCCCAUUCAUUCUUCAGUCCUAGAGGUAUCAGCAUAAUCAAAGAAUGAUGCAAAUUAAGUUAAUUGUGGUGUUCCUUUAUUUUUACAGUUGAAGGCACAGUUAAAUGAAACACUCACAAAACUUAGAACUGAACAAAAUGAAAGACAGAAGGUAGCUGGUGAUUUGCAUAAGGCUCAACAGUCACUGGAGCUUAUCCAGUCAAAAAUAGUAAAAGCUGCUGGAGACACUACUGUUAUUGAAAAUAGUGAUGUUUCCCCAGAAACGGAGUCUUCUGAGAAGGAGACAAUGUCUGUAAGUCUAAAUCAGACUGUAACACAGUUACAGCAGUUGCUUCAGGCAGUAAACCAACAGCUCACAAAAGAGAAAGAGCACUACCAGGUGUUAGAGUGAAGUAAUUGGGAAACUGUUCAUUUGAGGAUAAAAAAGGCAUUGUAUUAUAUUUUGCCAAAUUAAAGCCUUAUUUAUGUUUUCACCCUUUCUACUUUGUCAGAAACACUGAACAGAGUUUUGUCUUUUCUAAUCCUUGUUAGACUACUGAUUUAAAGAAAGAAAAAAAAAAGCCAACUCUGUAGACACCUUCAGAGUUUAGUUUUAUAAUAAAAACUGUUUGAAUAAUUAGACCUUUACAUUCCUGAAGAUAAACAUGUAAUCUUUUAUCUUAUUUUGCUCAAUAAAAUUGUUCAGAAGAUCAAAGUGGUAAAGACAAUGUAAAAUUUAACAUUUUAAUACUGAUGUUGAACACUGUUUUACUUAACAUUUUGGGAAGUAACUGCCUCUGACUUCAACUCAAGAAAACACUUUUUUGUUGCUAAUGUAAUCGGUUUUUGUAAUGGCGUCAGCAAAUAAAAGGAUGCUUAUUAUUCAAA
This 5293-nucleotide small RNA is filed under the name Pongo abelii (Sumatran orangutan). RNAcentral's name for it is "retained intron". Lineage: Eukaryota; Metazoa; Chordata; Mammalia; Primates; Hominidae. The record is from RNAcentral.